Rhipicephalus sanguineus (brown dog tick) is the source of this 694-nucleotide long non-coding RNA. RefSeq lists it as uncharacterized. The transcript has 5 exons. The record is from RefSeq and is a predicted model, not a curated record. Lineage: Eukaryota; Metazoa; Arthropoda; Arachnida; Ixodida; Ixodidae.
UGUUCAAGUGAUAUCUAGCCUCGAAAGUGAGAGCGCAGGGGUCUCCUACUCGAAGGUGCGGGUGACGGUUCAGCUUGCAGUCUAACCAAGGCUCGUAUGUUACCAAAUGGCACGAAAACAUUUUUGGAUUGUGCUCCUGUGCUUCGUCGUGGUUACACAAGCUGGACCCAAUAGAACGCAUCCUUUCAGGCUACCGAAUAUACGUAAGUUUUAUACUUCUGGACAACCAAUAUGGACCAUUCAGACAACGGAAAGAACAGUAUACAGCUGCAAAGUCGAUGUGCCGCAAACUAUAAAUAAAUAUCACGUUUAUUUCCAGAGGCUUUAUUACUGGCAUAUCGCUAGGGUCAACAACACCAUGGAAGGAGUGUUCAAGAUACUGAAUGUGGCAGGAAAGAUGAAAGUGCCCCCUGAUGCAAUGAUGGUCCGAAUUCCAAAGAUAAUCUUCACCGACACCGAACAACAACAGUAUGAAAGUCAUGAUGGCACAUGCGGAAUGUUUUUGGUGUCUUCCAUCUCUGGCGAUAAACAUUACGAGGUCCGUGUGUGGAAUGUUUCUGUUCGCCAUCUCGAUAGAAAAUGUUUGGAAUAUUUUCAUUAUGUUGCGUCGCAGAAGCGACUGCUGUACAAAGUAGUAUACAAGGACUCCUGCCAACAAAUAUUGCGAAAAUAAACACUACAACUUCGUGUCACA